GGUUAAGCGUAUUCUGGCUGAUAACUACGUCCGCCCGGAUGAAGCAGAGAAGGUGAAAUCGCUCAUUCGUGAGCGAGGAUCCUACAAGAUCAUCGAUAAAGUGUCGGUAAAGCUCAAUCAGAAGAAAUGGUAGUCCACGCCGUAAACGAUGUCUACUUGGAGGUUGUGCCCUUGAGGCGUGGCUUCCGGAGCUAACGCGUUAAGUAGACCGCCUGGGGAGUACGGCCGCAAGGUUAAAACUCAAAUGAAUUGAC
This 254-nucleotide ribosomal RNA is filed under the name Salmonella enterica subsp. enterica serovar Kentucky. Its description in RNAcentral is "partial 16S ribosomal RNA". It matches the Rfam family "Bacterial small subunit ribosomal RNA", at positions 680 to 914 of the family's 1533-position model. Lineage: Bacteria; Pseudomonadati; Pseudomonadota; Gammaproteobacteria; Enterobacterales; Enterobacteriaceae. The record is from RNAcentral.